GAGAGAUUGAGGAGAGAGAAAAUAAAAGAAAAUAGAAAAAGAAAAAUUAAAAUCUUUUAAAAUUAUUUUUAAUUUCAAUUUUGACAAAUUCGGUCAAUUGAAUAAAAUUACAACCAAUUUAGUCAAUUUGGCUUACAUUGUCAAAAUUGAAAAGUUUGGAUAAAAUUGCUAAUUCACGUAAAUGUUUGGAUGUUUAGUGUAAUUAGGCUUUUUAAAUAUUUGUGAAAUAAAAUUGUUAUUUGGUUUUGGAUAAGUUAAUA
RNAcentral lists this unclassified non-coding RNA (260 nucleotides) under Hevea brasiliensis (rubber tree). The record is from RNAcentral. Lineage: Eukaryota; Viridiplantae; Streptophyta; Magnoliopsida; Malpighiales; Euphorbiaceae.